RNAcentral lists this ribosomal RNA (164 nucleotides) under Coronilla scorpioides. RNAcentral's name for it is "5.8S ribosomal RNA". It matches the Rfam family "5.8S ribosomal RNA". Rfam says of the family: 5.8S ribosomal RNA (5.8S rRNA) is a component of the large subunit of the eukaryotic ribosome. It is transcribed by RNA polymerase I as part of the 45S precursor that also contains 18S and 28S rRNA. Lineage: Eukaryota; Viridiplantae; Streptophyta; Magnoliopsida; Fabales; Fabaceae. RNAcentral also lists the same sequence under 2 other names. The record is from RNAcentral.
CAUAAUGACUCUCGGCAACGGAUAUCUCGGCUCUCGCAUCGAUGAAGAACGUAGCGAAAUGCGAUACUUGGUGUGAAUUGCAGAAUCCCGUGAACCAUCGAGUCUUUGAACGCAAGUUGCGCCCGAUGCCAUUAGGCUGAGGGCACGUCUGCCUGGGUGUCACA